GACGAACGCUGGCGGCGUGCUUAACACAUGCAAGUCGAACGAAAGGCCCUGCUUUCCGGGUGCUCGAGUGGCGAACGGGGGGGUAACACGGGGGUGAUCUGCCCCUUUCUUUGGGAUAAGCCUGGGGAACUGGGUCUAAUACUGGAUAGGACCAUGCUGUAGGUGGUGUUGUGGGAAGGUUAGUUUCGGUAAGGGAUGAGGUCGCGGCCUAUCAGCUUGUUGGUGGGGUAAUGGCCUACCAAGGCGUCGACGGGUAGCCGGCCUGAGAGGGUGGACGGCCACAUUGGGACUGAGAUACGGCCCAGACUCCUACGGGAGGCAGCAGUGGGGAAUAUUGCACAAUGGGCGCAAGCCUGAUGCAGCGACGCCGCGUGGGGGAUGACGGCCUUCGGGUUGUAAACUCCUUUCAGCCAUGACGAAGCCCUUGUGGUGACGGUAGUGGUAGAAGAAGCACCGGCUAACUACGUG
This 468-nucleotide ribosomal RNA is filed under the name uncultured bacterium. Its description in RNAcentral is "partial 16S ribosomal RNA". It matches the Rfam family "Bacterial small subunit ribosomal RNA", at positions 28 to 507 of the family's 1533-position model. The record is from RNAcentral.